This 514-nucleotide ribosomal RNA is filed under the name uncultured bacterium. RNAcentral's name for it is "partial 16S ribosomal RNA". It matches the Rfam family "Bacterial small subunit ribosomal RNA", at positions 28 to 523 of the family's 1533-position model. The record is from RNAcentral.
GAUGAACGCUGGCGGCGUGCCUAAUACAUGCAAGUCGAGCGAACAGAUGAGAAGCUUGCUUCUCUGAUGUUAGCGGCGGACGGGUGAGUAACACGUGGGUAACCUACCUAUAAGACUGGGAUAACUCCGGGAAACAGGGGCUAAUACCGGCUAAUAUUUUGAACCGCAUGGUUCAAUAGUGAAAGACGGUUUCGGCUGUCACUUAUAGAUGGACCCGCGCCGUAUUAGCUAGUUGGUAAGGUAACGGCUUACCAAGGCGACGAUACGUAGCCGACCUGAGAGGGUGAGCGGCCACACUGGAACUGAGACACGGUCCAGACUCCUACGGGAGGCAGCAGUAGGGAAUCUUCCGCAAUGGGCGAAAGCCUGACGGAGCAACGCCGCGUGAGUGAUGAAGGUCUUCGGAUCGUAAAACUCUGUUGUUAGGGAAGAACAAAUUUGUUAGUAACUGAACAAGUCUUGACGUUACCUAACCAGAAAGCCACGGCUAACUACGUGCCAGCAGCCGCAGUAA